CCCGCCUGGGGAGUACGAUCGCAAGAUUAAAACUCAAAGGAAUUGACGGGCCCCGCACAAGCAGCGGAGCAUGCGGCUUAAUUCGACGCAACGCGAAGAACCUUACCAAGGCUUGACAUAUACAGGAAUAUGGCAGAGAUGUCAUAGCCGCAAGGUCUGUAUACAGGUGGUGCAUGGUUGUCGUCAGCUCGUGUCGUGAGAUGUUGGGUUAAGUCCCGCAACGAGCGCAACCCUCGUUCUGUGUUGCCAGCAUUUAGUUGGGGACUCACAGGAGACUGCCGGGGUUAACUCGGAGGAAGGUGGGGAUGACGUCAAAUCAUCAUGCCCCUUAUGUCUUGGGCUGCACGCAUGCUACAAUGGCUGGUACAAACGGCUGCGAUACCGCAAGGUGGAGCGAAUCCGAGAAAGCCAGUCUCAGUUCGGAUUGGGGUCUGCAACUCGACCCCAUGAAGUCGGAGUUGCUAGUAAUCGUAGAUCAGCAACGCUACGGUGAAUACGUUCCCGGGG
RNAcentral lists this ribosomal RNA (507 nucleotides) under uncultured Actinomycetes bacterium. RNAcentral's name for it is "bacterial SSU rRNA". It matches the Rfam family "Bacterial small subunit ribosomal RNA", at positions 868 to 1379 of the family's 1533-position model. The record is from RNAcentral. Lineage: Bacteria; Bacillati; Actinomycetota; Actinomycetes.